UUCGGUUUUAUUUACCUUUGUUAGGUCAUUAGAGGUGAGACAUUAUCACUGCAGAUUCUCGCUCUCUGACUUUUAUAUUAUGGAUAUUUUUCGACGGGCACGCCAUAGACGACACC
Molecule: long non-coding RNA, 116 nt
Organism: Zingiber officinale
Lineage: Eukaryota; Viridiplantae; Streptophyta; Magnoliopsida; Zingiberales; Zingiberaceae
Exons: 3
Source: RefSeq, a predicted model, not a curated record